AGCAGAAAAAGCCAAACCCGGGGACACACGGGGACGGAAAACCACGGAUCCUUUUAUGGAAAGCCGGAUUGCCUAC
This 76-nucleotide non-coding RNA is filed under the name Desulfobacterales bacterium. RNAcentral's name for it is "c-di-GMP sequence". It matches the Rfam family "c-di-GMP-I riboswitch aptamer". From Rfam's summary of the family: GEMM was predicted in a large-scale screen for bacterial structured RNA regulatory elements. Lineage: Bacteria; Pseudomonadati; Thermodesulfobacteriota; Desulfobacteria; Desulfobacterales. The record is from RNAcentral.